Molecule: ribosomal RNA, 119 nt
Filed under: Pteropus alecto (black flying fox)
Lineage: Eukaryota; Metazoa; Chordata; Mammalia; Chiroptera; Pteropodidae
Also listed under: 1 other name
Source: RNAcentral
GUCUACAGCCAUGCCACCCUGAACGUGCCUGAUCUUGUCUGAUCUCGGAAGCUAAGCAGGAUCGGGCCUGGUUAGUACUUGGAUGGGAGACUACCUAGGAAGACCAGGUGCUGUAGGUG